Picea glauca (white spruce) is the source of this 129-nucleotide non-coding RNA. Lineage: Eukaryota; Viridiplantae; Streptophyta; Pinopsida; Pinales; Pinaceae. The record is from Rfam.
AUAUGUGAUAACACUUACAAAAUAGUGUUAAUUCACUUGAUCCCAUUAGAACUUCACAGUUAAUCAUGCUCAGGCUAGAGUAGUAUUGGGAUGGGUGACCGCCCAGGAUGUCCUAGUGCUUUACAUGCC